Sinocyclocheilus rhinocerous is the source of this 806-nucleotide long non-coding RNA. RefSeq lists it as uncharacterized. The record is from RefSeq and is a predicted model, not a curated record. The transcript is spliced from 3 exons. Lineage: Eukaryota; Metazoa; Chordata; Actinopteri; Cypriniformes; Cyprinidae.
UGAGUUUGGGCACCCUUGCUUUAGAUAAAAGCAUCUGCUAAAAAAGGGGAAAAAAUAAUACAGAAACAAACAUCAGCAGCAACAAAAAAUGCUAGACGUGAGAUGUUUAAACUAGACAUCAAAUCAGGAUUUUCCACACAGAAGACAGAAUAUUGAAACCUCUUUCUCUGCUCUCCCAUGUGUAUAGCGGCUGUGUGUGUCUGACGAAACAGGUCUCGACUCACAUGAACGCUUCACUAUAUGAGUGCUAAUAAGAACUAUGUCAGGAGGGACACCUGCCGUUUCAGAAAGCGAGAGGAACUGCGACUGACAGCCCAGUGACUGACAGAGCCCCAAAUACAGACCCUCGUUGUGACUGAACAGUGCAGGAGCAUCCAUAAAUCAGGAAAACCUGAGUGAGCCCUGGUUGGGGGGUCACCAAGAAAGGUUCACUUCCCUUUGGUUGUGUGGUGCUGAACAGCAGGACAGGCCUGGUUUUUCUCACCCUGCCUUCCCAUCUGACAACAAAUAAACAGCCAGAGGUCUUUAAUGUGCCAUACAGAUGACACCUCCAAUCUCUUCCUUCACAAAGAGUUCAGGAAGCUUUGGGUGUCAAGACAAAUAUUAUGGCAGUGGAGUUUCAUUUGGCGUGUGUCUGAGGCUUGAGUCUUUCCUUCUAACCUGUGCGUGAGCUAAAGGAAGAGUGUGGAAGUGAAAAACACAAGAGGAACCAUCUGUCCGGUGAACAGUUCUACAUAUGGUCAAACAUUGGUCUGUGUGGAACUGCGACUUUAAUGAAGAGUCAUGACUAGAAUACAGUUAACAAU